Molecule: long non-coding RNA, 474 nt
Filed under: Lotus japonicus
Lineage: Eukaryota; Viridiplantae; Streptophyta; Magnoliopsida; Fabales; Fabaceae
Description: long non-coding RNA (LJAP_LNC000793)
Source: RNAcentral
UAUUAUUGGUUUUUAAUUAUUUUCCUUUAUUAUUAUUGUUAUUUUAGGAGAAGAUGUGGAAUCAAUGAGCAAAUCAAGGGAGAGAGCCAAGAAUCUCGAAGUCUGGAGCAAUCUGGAUUUCUUUGCGCCAGUUCUGCACCAACUUCCUGUUGCAUUUCGCGCAGACGCGCCAAGGAAGUAGCUGCUGGAAAAUUCUGCGCCAGUUUUGCGCGAGUUUCUUCACGAAGUUCGCGCAUUUGCGCGAAAUAUCUGUCAAACUCUAUUUAAGCGCGUUUUAAACCUAAUUUAGAUACUUUUUCACGUUAGAACUUGGAGAGCUGCGUUUUUGGGUUUUUGCUUAGAGCUUACUUGGUUCUUUGUCAAGAUUUUGAGGUUUGGCUUGAAUUUUGAUUUGUUUCCAUGACUAUGUCAGGCUAAACUCCCUUUGUGUUAGGGUGAUUGAUCUAGUUUUCCUUUAAACUAUGUUUUGAACCA